UAGACCACCCUACUCCAACCAUCAAGCCUAUCUUCCUCAACAAUGGGCCUCUGCAAAAUCCUCUCCAUUUCCUCAUUCCUUCUCACCACCCUAUUCUUCACCUCCAGCUAUGCAGCAACCUUCAACAUCCAAAACCGUUGCUCCUACACAGUUUGGGCGGCGGCAAUCCCAGGCGGGGGCAUGCGGCUUGGCUCAGGCCAAUCCUGGAGCCUCGAUGUGAAGGCCGCCACCACCGGAAGCCGUGUUUGGGGCCGUACCGACUGCAGCUUCGAUGCGUCAGGGAAUGGGAAGUGUGAGACCGGGGACUGUGGUGGCCGCCUCCAAUGCAAGGCCUAUGGUACACCCCCUAACACCUUAGCCGAAUUCGCACUUAACCAAUACAGCAACUUGGACUUCUUUGAUAUAUCUUUGGUUGAUGGAUUUAAUGUGCCUAUAGCCUUUAAUCCUACUUCCAAUGGGUGCACCCGUGGCAUCAGUUGCACCGCCGACAUCGUGGGAGAGUGCCCCGCUGCGCUAAAGACUACCGGUGGUUGCAACAACCCAUGCACCGUUUUCAAGACCGAUGAAUAUUGUUGCAAUUCUGGGAGCUGUAAUGCUACAGAUUUCUCAAGGUUUUUCAAGACUAGGUGCCCUGAUGCUUAUAGCUACCCUAAGGACGAUCAGACAAGCACCUUCACAUGCCCUGGCGGUACCAAUUAUGAAGUUAUCUUCUGCCCAUCAGCAGUGCCACAAACAUGUGUUUUUAUUAUAAAUUAAUUUGUGGUAAAAAAAACAUUUUGUGUUACAAGAUUUUUUUUCCACAAAAAAAUAUUUCCGACCAGUUUGUUGCUACAAAUUCGUAAACAAUUAUUUUUAAUCACAAAAUUUAAUUUUAUAAUAAAAUAAAUAAUUUUUUCAUAAAAUAAAUUUUAUAACAAAAUAUCAAUAUUCACCAUUAAAUAAAAUUUAUGAUAAAAUGUCAUUUUUCACCGUAAAAUAAAAUUUGUGACAACACAUCGUUUUUCAUGAAAAUAAUUACGAUAAUAUGCGACUUUUUUGUUAUAAAAAAAUUCAUGAUAAAAAAUUACCCUUCUACCAAAAAACAUUAAUUGUAACGGUCCAAACCACUGGUCUUGACAAGGAAAUAUGACAUACAGUCAAGGAGGGUUUGCUUAAAAGUCAUUAUCCUACUUGGAAACUACCUCCCUUAUUGGGGUACAUGGCAUUUUUUUAAUAAUAUUUGACUCACUUUUCCGGGAAACCUAGUUGUAGAAGUCCAAACAGGUUGCUUUUCAGGGGAAUUCACGGCAUAAAUAGAAAAGAAAGUUGCCAGAAAUGCCCUAACUGAUUAAAAUCAUUACCUUUAAUUGCAGAGAAUUAUGUCUAUCAAUUAAAUAAAUUAUAAAUAUAUGUUUGAAUUGAUUUUUAAGAAAUUGAAUGGUUUUUUAAGUUCAAUAAGAAUUUUAAUAUUGAUUUAACUAAUUUUAUUUAAAAAGCUUAUGAUUUAAAAAAUAGUUUUAUAUGAUUUAGAUAAGAAAUUAUUUAAUAUUUAAUAUAAGUUUUAUAAUACUAAUAUUAUGUAUUAAAAAUUAUGAUUUUGGUUGGACUCUCAACAUUUAGUUAAAUCUAAAAGUAGAAAACUAUUUCAAACAAAGUCAUGUUUUCUAUUUCAUUAUUAAUUAAUAUAUAUUUUUUUUAAUUCGGAUGUGAAAAGGUGUUUCAAAGUUUAAGAUUGUCUAAUAUUUUAAAUCAAAAUCUCAAUACUUAAAUUAAAGAAAAAUUUAGAUCGUAUUUAUUUGUUUAAUUGAAUAGAAAAAAUUAAAAUAUUUAAUUUUUUUAAUUUUAAUUAAAAGUAAUCUAUUUAUAUUAAUCAAUAUAACGAAAUCGAAUAUAUUGAUAAUAAAUUUACUUUAAAUAUCUUAAUUGAUAUUAAUAUAUUACUUGAACUGAAAAAACUAAAAAGCAAAAAAUAAACUCCACACUUAAAAAGAUUCUGGGCCAUGGAUACAGAAGCCCAAAAGAUUUAUUGAUGGGGGCAGUGGGCCUGGCCUGCCGUGUGCAGCUGCAUUUGUUUGACUUGUCCUCAAGCCUAGUCAACGUCUCCGUUCAAUGAAGCUGAUGUAUCGAAAAAUCCCAAAAAGCCUCAUUUUUCCCGCCAAACGCGUAAACCCCAAAAUGAGUUUCUUCUGCAACUGCAGCAAUCUCUCUACUUCCUUCUUCCUCCUCAUCUUCAUCAAUGCAACCAUUUUCGAAAUCCGAAACAGCUGCCCCUAUACCGUCUGGGCAGCCGCCUUACCCGGCGGCGGAAGGUAACUCGACCAAGGCCAGACCCGGAACCUUUCAGUGAGCUCCAACACAACCCAAGGCCACAUCUGGGGCAGAACCAAGUGCAGUUUCGAUGAAGCCGGAAGGGGGAACUGCGAGUCCGGUGGAUGUGGAGGCCUCCUUGAAUGCCAAGAAUAUGGUUCACCGCCCAACACCAUUGCCGAGUACGCCAUAAACCAAUUCAACAAAACUGAUUUCUUCGAUAUUUCUCUGGUGGUUGGAUUCAACCUUCCAAUGGAGUUUAGCCCAACUUCUGAUGGGUGCAAACGUGGGGUCAAGCGUACGUGCGACAUUAACGGGCCGUGCCCAAACGAGUUGAGGGACCCGGGUGGGUGUAACAACCCAUGUACCGUUUUCAACAAUACUCAGUACUGUUGCAAUACCGGGAGCUGUUAGCCUACACCUUCAUGUUUUUCAAGGCUAGCUGCCCAGAUGUAUACAGUUACCCUUUGGGAGAUGAUUCAAUCGGUACGUUUACCUGCGCCGCAUGCACUAACUAUCGUAUAGUCUUCUCCGAGUUUUGGGGUAGCCCAAAGUUUAAACCUUUUUGCAAAACUUACAAUCAAACUCGUCCUUUUUAUUAUCACCUAGAGUCAUAUUAUGUUUUUUUUUUCAAAAUUUAAGUUGAAAAUUUUAUUUUUGAAUUGAAGCCAUAAUUAAUAACCAAGACUUCAUUUUGAACGGAAACCUCAUUUGAUAAGUGAGACUUAGUUUUUUAAUUAAAACCUCAUUUUGACAAUUAAAACUUCAUUUAUUAAACUAAAACCUUAAUUGUGACUUUAGUUAUUUUUUUUACUUUAAAAUUUAAUUAAAAAUAUUAAAUUUCAAAUUAUUAUUGAAAUUAAAAAUAUUUACUUUAAUAAUAAAAAAUUAUAUAUUUAAGUUUAAGGAUUCAACAUUAUUCUAAUAAAGAUAAAUUGAUAAAUAAAAUAAAUAAAUGAAUAAUUUUAUUUAUCAAUAAAUUAAUAAUUUUAAAAUAAUAAAGUUAUAUAAUAUAUAAAUAAAAUAUAAAAUUAUAUAAUUUAUUAAUUUAAGUUAUAUUACAAAUACUAUAUGUUACCGGGCAACUAAAAAGGAAGAAAGUUAUGUAUAGGUUCUCUCUUUGUAAAGACACGUAAGAUUAUAUAAUUUUCUUUUUUACUAUAUGAAUAUUUAGUAAACAAUUUUUGUGACAUAGAUGAAACUACUAAAACUUAUAUUUUGUAGUAAACAUUUUUUAAUUAAUUUUAUUAGCUAAUUUUAAAAUGUAUCUUCAAGGCAUAUAUGUUGUGGGUAUAAAUAAUAAUUUUUUUUUAAUGAAAAAUUAUAAACAUAUACUUUAAAAUAAUAAUAAAAUCUAUAUAUAAAAGCUUAAGAAUAUACUAUUAUUUUAAUAAAGAUAAAUUUGUGAAAAUACAAAUAAAUUAAUAUCUUAAAAAUAAAACAAAUUAAAUAUCUUAAAUUAAUAAAUUAUAUAAUUUUAUAUCUUAUUAUAUUUAUCAAUUUAUCUUUAAACCUAAGUCCUAAGUCCAAGGUUUAAAUAUUUUAUUAUAUUUAUUAAUUUAUCUUUAUUGAAGUAAUACUAGAUUUUUAAGUUUAAACAUAUAAUUAAUUUAUUAUUAAAGUAUAUAUUUUUAAUUUCAACAAUAAUUUAUAAUUUAAUAUUUUAAUUAAAUUUUAAAGUAAAAAAAUAAUUAAUUGAAGCUUCAAUUGAAAAUUAAGACUUUAAUAAAAAAAUGAAGUCUCAAUUAUCAAUUGUGAAUUCAAUUUAAAAAUGAGGUAUGAUUUGACAAUUAAGGUUUCAGUUUAUAAAUGAAACCUUAAUUGUCAAUUGUGGUUUUAGUUCAAAAAUAAACCCUCAAUUGAUAAUUGAGGUUUUACUUAAAUUUUAAAAUAUAUAUAUAUUAUGAUACGACUCUUAUGUGACAAUAAAGGACUAGUUUGAACAUAAAUUUUAUAAAAAUGUUAAAUCUUACAUUUCUUUUUAUACAAGCUUAUUUAUUUUUGUUUCUUAAAAAAAAAAAAAUUAUCAGCUUCCCUUGAUAAGAUUUGAGGAAAAACAAAGAUGAGGUAGGAUUGGCUCUUCCAUGCCUCUAAGUCGAGCACCAUCUUUUAGAUUUUAACAAAGCUUAUUGCUAAAAUAUUUUCAUUUAGGGUCAUUAACUUUAACUUAGGGUUCAUCGAGGAACUUUUUCAGAAAUAAUUCUUAAAAAGUAAUUCUCAAGAAUAACUUUUAAAAAUAAUAUUUUAAUAUUUUUAAAAUAAAAAGUUUUGAAGAGCUUAGAAUAUUGUCAAUUUUUUUUUAUAUUUUUAAAUAUUUCUUAAAAAUAAUUCCUAUUUAUAAUACCUUAUUUUAAGACAUUCUUCGUGUUUAUUCAAUAAUUCCUAAAAAGUAAUUAAAAUAUAAUAUAUGUAAAAAAAAUCACUUUUCAUAGUUUUAGUUUUAAAUUUAUAAUUAACAAUCGAAUGUGUUUUUAUACUUUUUUUAUUCUAAAAACCAAAAAGAUAAAUCCUUAAUAGAAAUUUUCAAACAUUGUUUUAGUGUCCCACCCCAAGUCCACCUUCGCUCUAUAUAAACUCCUAGCCAUUUCCUCACGGACCACCCCAAACCAUAAAGCCCAUCUUCCUGAAAAAAUGGGCCUCUUCAAAACCCCUUUAAUUUCCUCAUUCCUUCUCACCACCCUAUUCUUCGCCUCCUGCCACGCAGCCACGCUGAUCAACAUCCAAAACCAUUGCUCCUACACAGUUUGGGCGGCGGCGGUACCAGGUGGGGGCAGGCAGCUUGGUCCGGGCCAAUCCUGGAGCCUCGAUGCGAACCCUGGCACAGCCCGUGUGUGGGCACGUACCAACUGCACCUUUGAUGGGUCAGGGAACGGGACGUGUGAGACCCGAGAUUGUGGUGGCCGCCUCCAAUGCCAAGCCUAUGGUACACCCCCUAACACCUUGGCCGAAUUCGCACUUAACCAAUUCAACAACAUGGACUUCUUCGAUAUAUCUUUGGUUGAUGGAUUUAAUGUGCCCAUGGCUCUUAAUUCUACUUCCAAUGGGUGCACCCGUGGCAUCCAAUGCAGCGCCGACAUAGUCGGACAGUGCCCUGAUGAGCUCCGAGCUCCCGGUGGUUGCAACAAUCCAUGCACUGUUUUCAGGACCGAUGAAUAUUGUUGUUAUUCUGGGAACUGUGGCCCUACAACUUACUCCAAGUUUUUCAAGGAUAGGUGUCCGGUGGCUUAUAGCAACCCUAAUGAUGAUCAAACAAGCACCUUUACAUGCCCUGGUGGUACUAACUAUGAUGUUAUCUUCUGCCCAUGAUGCCUCUACUAGUCCUGUUAGACGAUUUGGUACCAUCUUGGGAUCCAAAUGUCUAGAAGAAUAAAUUUGAGCACAUGUCCAUGUCCAUAGUCAUGUAAUAAGAUUUCUACCAUCAUAGAAAUCGAAUGAUUUUCAGAGGGGUUAGAAGCUUUGAAUAAUGUUUAAAUGUGCUUUACUUAUAAAAGUUUAGAACUAAUUCUUCAUAAAAAUAAUUUUGUCCAAGUGUUAUUGUUUAAGAGUUUAUUUGAUAUUGAAUUAUGAAAGUAUUUUGAAUUAUUUUAACAUUUAAAAAAUAAUUUUUCUUUAAAUAUUAAAAAAUUUAAAAAUGCUUCUUAUAAUUAUUAUCAAAUAAACUCUAAAUACUAUAUAUUAAAAACAUAAUUACUAGAAUGACCUCUAAAUGAAUUCAUAUUUUAAGUACACCGAGAAUGAUAGAAUUCAGUAAUGGUGUUUUAAAUUAAAUUGGUAAAUAUUUUGGGAUUUUCCAUUUGAAUAAUUUUUAGAAGUGAAUAAAUUAUUUUUCAGCUCUAACAUAAACAAAUCCUGUUAUUGUGGUGUGGAAAAACCUUUGCUCAAGAGUCAAGAGCGGUGGUGGAGGCUUGAGUUACGUACCCAAGUUGAAUUUUUGUAAAAGGAUGUGGAGGAGUAGAGUACAAGGAAAAUUGAUUUGCGGACAAGACCAGUUAGUUAGUGAAGCUUGAUUAAAGUCGAAGUUUUGGUGUUUUCUCCCAAGACUUCCUUUGUAGUGGUCCAAAAAAUUGGUAAGGAAAUAUGACAGACAUCGAAAGAGGAUUUGGCUAAAAGUCAAUAACUAUUUGGAGCUAUGUUCCCUUCUCGGGGCGAUGGCGUUUGCUAGUAAUCUUUGACUCGCUCUUCCCCGUAGCUUCCAUAGCAGUCCAAACCGGUUGCUUGUUCAAGGAAAACACCGUAUAAAUAAGAGGGAAGUGGCUAAAAGUCUAACUAAUUAAAAUCGUAGUCAUUUAUUGUGUGGAAUAGCGGGACACAUACGUAUUGAAGUUGAACUUGUCCAUCAAUUAAAUCUAAUACAAUUUUCUUUUUCAAUCCAACUAUUACGUAAUAAAUUUUAAAUUUCAAAUAUAUUUGCUUUUAAAAUUUACUCAAACCAAUUUAAUAACUUACAAAUAACUAAUUCAAUAACUUGGACUUCUUUAAUAUAGUAUUGUCCAAGCAUAUAUUUGAUAUGUCUUUAAUUUAUUUUUAAUUGUGCUUCUAAGCUACGUUUGGUUCUCGAAAAAUUUGAGAGAAAAUUUAAAAGAAAAAAAUUACAGAUGAAAAAAAAUAAAAAAUAGUUUAAAUAUAAUAAAUUAUAUUUGAUUUGAUUUUCUAUUUUUUUUUAUAGUGAAACAAAAUAUGAGAAAACCAUUUUUAUUAAUAUUUUUUUUCUUUAGAACACUUUCCAACAUAACUUACCAUUUAUUUUUUUGGUCAUGCAAAAGUUGAUGUAAAAAAUAUAGUUAGUCUCUCUUAUAUCAUUCAUUUGAAAUUGAGUAGAUUAAUGGUGUUUGUUUUUUUGGUUUUUUACUUAAAGCAAUUUAGUUUUAGAAUUUAGGUUGUUUGUUUUUCUACUUUUUCAUGACUUAUUAUAAACUUUUUACUAAAUAGAAAAAGUCAAAAUAUGUAGCUUUUUCUAAGUAGGAAAAAUAACAUAUUGAUUUUUUUUACUUUUUAAUACUUAAUAGAAAUAAAAUACUACAAAAACAAAUAACCUAAUAUUUAACACUAUUAAGCAUUAAGGUUCUAUUUAGAAUUAAGUAAAAAAACAAACAUCAUCUUCACACUAAGUAAUAACCCUAUAUUAGUCCUAAUAAGUAAUAAAAUUCCUCUACUAAUACAUGGUAUGGAUAAAAUAUUUACUAAAUUAACAACAUGAAUGUAAGUAAUUUAGAUAUUAGUAGGAUAUAUUUUUGUCUUAAUUAUUUAAAAAUAUAAACAUAUUUAUAUUAGGUUCUUGCUUUUUAUAAAUAUUAAUUCAACAUUUUUAGUAAUUUUUUUUUUAAAUUUAAUAAUUACAUAACCAAAAGUAAAAAAAAAAAAAAAUCAUUUUAUGAUGAUUUUUUGUCAAUUUUCAAUGAUUUCUUUCUAGUUCUUUGUUUUCAGUAGGUUAUUGAGUUAAUAAAGAAAUAAUGAAAUAUAAUGUGAUUGGGUUUUGGGUAUUUUUUUUUUUUAUAAUUUGUUUAAAAAAAAUUAGAUAAUAAAAAUAUCAUAUAUAUAUAUUUUGUUAUAAAAUUUUUAAAAGGAAAAAAAUUGUUGCUAAAUAUGAUUUUCAAAAACAUUUAUCACAAUUUUAAUUCAAAAAAUUGAAAAAUAAAAGUGUAAUGGAAGAUACUACUAAUGUAGUACAAGCAAUAAAUAUUUUUACCCUUAGUUGUGAAAAAUAUAGAGGAAAGAAAUUUUAUGAUGUCUGUUUCUAGAAGGUUGUAGGAAACCUGUUUGCCACGCCAGCCUAUUAAUAUUUUCUUCUUCGAAAAUUAAGAAAUUAUGGCAUUUUUUUAAAAAAAAAUUAUGCUUAAAAAUAGUUUUUUAUUUAGAAUAUAAAACUUAAAUUUAAAGAAAUUGAGAAUAUAUUCUAAAACUGAAUUAUCUUUUAGAAUAAAUUUAAGGGUUUUUUUUUAUUAUGUUCUAUUAAAUAAUAAUUAUUAAAAAUAUGAAAAUUAUUUUUUUUUAAAAAUAUAUUAUAUAUGUGUAUGUCAACUUUAAGAAAAAUAAAUAAAUAAAUAAAUAUAUAUAUAUAUAUAUAUAUAUAUAUUUUAUGUCUGAGAUUUUAAACAAAAUUUUAUUUAUAAAAAUAAUUAAAAAUUAUGUUUUGCCUAACAUGCCUAUGUUCUAGUCGUCUACGGAGUUGGUUCGGGAUGGCAGUGGAAAAUAUACUUUAGAUAUUUUCUCUUCUCUAUAGUCAGAUGCUUCUGCGUAUUUUAAAUGGUAAAGACCAAAACUCAAUUAUGAUAUUAUCGAAAAUAGACCCAGUCCAAAGUGGUCAUUCAUACUGGCAUAGUUCCAGGAAGGUGAUCAACAUCAGGGCUGUCUCAUUCAAGAAAGGAAAUUUGCACCCACGUUUUCUAGAUACAUUCCUACUGUUCUGAUGAUUCGGUAUGCACGAAUUUAUGCAAAGGUUAGGCAGAUUUCUGAAAAUAAUAAAAAUGGUAAUGAAGUGGACCCUUCUCUCUGUAAAAUAUUUUAAAUAAAAAAUACUUAUUUUUCUAAAAAUAAGUAUUUUCAAUAUGUAAUAUAUGUUUUAAAAAAAAAAAUUAAUUUACAAGCUUAUUUAUUUUUAUUUCUUAAAAAUAUUAUCGGCUUUUGUUGAUAAGAUUUGAGGAAAGAAAAAGGGCCACCUCACAUCGACUCUUCCAUGCCCGCAGGCCCCAACGAAGUCGACCACAAAGAUGACGCUAUCUUUUGGAAUUUUUACAGGGAGGUUUUUUCACAUACACACCAACCCAAGCCCACCUUCACCCUAUAAAAACCCCCACCCGGUUCCUCACAGAUCACCCCACUCCAACCAUCAAGCCUAUAUAUCUUCCGAAACUCAACAAUGGGCCUCUGCAAAAUCCUCUCCAUUUCCUCAUUCCUUCUCACCACCCUAUUCUUCACCUCCAGCUAUGCAGCUACGUUCAACAUCCAAAACCAUUGCUCCUACACGGUUUGGGCUGCGGCAGUCCCAGGCGGGGGCAUGCAGCUUGGCUCAGGCCAAUCCUGGAGCCUCAAUGUGAAUGCCGGCACCACUGGAGGCCGUGUUUGGGCCCGUACCAACUGCAACUUCGAUGCGUCAGGGAAUGGGAAGUGUGAGACCGGGGACUGUGGUGGCCUCCUCCAAUGCACGGCCUAUGGUACACCCCCUAACACCUUAGCCGAAUUCGCACUUAACCAAUACAGCAACUUGGACUUCUUUGAUAUAUCUUUGGUUGAUGGAUUUAAUGUUGCUAUGGCCUUUAAUCCUACUUCCAAUGGGUGCACCCGUGGCAUCAGUUGCACCGCCGACAUCGUGGGAGAGUGCCCCGCUGCGCUAAAGACUACCGGUGGUUGCAACAACCCAUGCACCGUUUUCAAGACCGAUGAAUAUUGUUGCAAUUCUGGGAGCUGUAAUGCUACAACUUACUCCGAGUUUUUCAAGACUAGGUGCCCUGAUGCUUAUAGCUACCCUAAGGACGAUCAGACAAGCACCUUCACAUGCCCUUCCGGGACCAAUUAUGAAGUUAUCUUCUGCCCAUAAAUCUAUUAUUUAAAUCAUAUGCUAGUAUGCCUCUACUGGUCUCAACUAUUAGGAGGCAAUGGUAUCCACCUUGGGUUCCAAAAGCCUAGAGGAAUAAAGUUGAGCCCAUAUUCGUGGUCAUGUAUUAAGAUUUCUACACUAGUCGAAGCAAUGGAUGCCUUUUUUUAUAUAGAUAUAUGCUAUCUUCUUCUUCUAAUCUCUGUGGUCCCUUCCAAGUAACAUUUCAUAUAGAUAUAUGAAUUUUAAUGAUUAUUCUUCUUCAGAAUUCUUUUUUUUUUUUUUUUUGAAAAUGAAAUUAAGCUUAACAUGAACAAAAUUCUGCUAUCAUGGUACGGAGAAAUCUUUGCUUGAGAGCGGUGGUUGAGGAUUGAGUCACCUACCCAAGUCAAAUUUUUGUAACAAUUAGAUGUUCAUCUUUAGAGUACUACAAGGAAAAUUGAUGUGAGGAUAAAGACCAGUUAACGAAGCUUGACUGACGUCAAAAUUUUAUUUUAUUUCCUUUUCUCUAAUCCUACCUUGUAGCGGUCCAAAUUAAUUGUCUUGACAAGGAAAUAUAACACAUAGCCAAGGAGGAUUUGCCUAAAAGCCAUCAUCCUGUUUGAAAACUACCUCCCUUAUUGUGCACAUGACACUUUUUCUAAGGGGAAUAAUCCAACCAUACAUUGGACCAAUAAAAUAAGUAUUUUUGGGAUUUUAUUUUUACCUUCACAAAUUGAGUGCGUAAAGUGCGGGGGAAAAAAACUCAUUCAUGCAUUUCAAUAACACUUGUGAAUUUAUUCCAAAAUUACAUUCAAAGUACACCUAUCAUUUUUUUUUACAUCAACUCUCUCACACCUCCAUUUCACCCGCCAUGUUCAUACGGUUUUUUUAUCUCUCACCAACAUAUUCAUAGUCUCAUGUAUUUUCUUAUAAAACAUCUUUAAUUUCAAUUUUUUUUUCACUCUCUAAUCUCUCCAUAUUUAUUGAUUUUAAUCAUUUUUUAGACACAUUAAACUUAAAAUGAUAAUAUAUAAUAAAUAAUUAAUAAUAAAAAAUUAAAUAAAAACAUAAUAUUUAAUGAACAAAAAUUAAAAUAUUAUCUCACAAAUAAUAUACUUGAUAAUUUUAAAUAUUAAUUAUAAUAAUGUUUAAGAUUUAAAUUUAAAAAUUAUGUUUUUAUUAUUUAGAGGCUUAUGAUAUAAUUUUUUUUAUAUUAAUACUAAAUAAAAGAUUUAUUGAUUUUGUAAAUCUUAUCAUACGUAAAAGUAAAAAAUAUCUUUGUAAUAUUAUUUUAUUAUUUUUAUUUUGAUAUAAAAUUUUUCAUUUGUAAUAUUAUUUUAUUAUUUUUAUUUUGAUAUAAAAUUUUUCAUAUCAAAAUCACAAUAAGUGAUAGUAGUUUUUUUUUUGUUAUGGUUUUAAUUGUGGUUUUAACUUUUUACUUGGUUAAAUUUUUUAAUUUUUUAUCAAGAUAAAAUAUAAAAGAAAAUAUGUUUUUUCAUAAAAAAAAAAUACAUUGUUUUAGGGAAAUUGAGAUACUUAUCUCUUUUAUCAUGAUGCAUAUACUCCUUUUGGAAUUCUCGGGAAGUGUUUUUAAAUUCUCUCCCACCUCGAAAAAGACUUUGAAACUUCAAGUAAGAAAAAUAAAUACAUCCUUUAAGAAAAAUGGAUUUUCUUUGAAUUGGUUGCCUCACAAUAUUUUAAAUGAUAAAGACUAAAAUUCAAUUAUGAUAUUAUCGAAAAUAGUCCCAAUCUAACGACUAGUCAAGAUAUUUGAAGUGGCCAAUCGUAUUGGAAGAAUUCCAGGAAGGUGCUCAACAGGGUUGUCUCAUUCAAAUAAGGAAAUUUGAAAUAAAUUUUCUCAAUACCAUGCACCCACGUUUUCUAGAUACAUUCCUACUGUUCUCAGAAUUGAGUGCUCAUGAAUUUACAUAGAAGUUAGGCAGAUUUCUGGAAAUAAUAAAAAUGAUAAUCACGUAGAACCUUGUCUCUGUAAAUUAUUUUAAAUAAAAAAUACUUAUUUUUCUAAAAAUAAGUAUUUUCAAAAUGUAAUAUAUGUUUUUUUUUUUUUUAAAUAAUAAUAAUUUACAAGCUUUUUUAUUUUUAUUUCUUAAAAAAAUUAUGGGCUUUUGUUGAUAAGAUUUGAGGAAAAACAAAAAGGGCCACACUACAUUGACUCUUCCAUGCCUACAGGCCACAACGAAGUCGACCACAAAGAUGACGCCAUCUUUUGGAAUUUUUACAGGACGGUUUUUCCACAUACACACCAACCCAAGCCCACCUUCACCCUAUAUAAACCCCCACCCAUUUCCUCACAGAUCACCCCACUCCAACCAUCAAGCCUAUCUUCCGAUCCUCAACAAUGGGCCUCUGCAAAAUCCUCUCCAUUUCCUCAUUCCUUCUCACCGCCCUAUUCUUCACCCCCAGCUAUGCAGCCACCUUCAACAUCCAAAACCAUUGCUCCUACACGGUUUGGGCUGCGGCAGUCCCAGGCGGGGGCAUGCAGCUUGGCUCAGGCCAAUCCUGGAGCCUCAAUGUGAAUGCCGGCACCACUGGAGGCCGUGUUUGGGCCCGUACCAACUGCAACUUCGAUGCAUCAGGGAAUGGGAAGUGUGAGACCGGGGACUGUGGUGGCCUCCUCCAAUGCACGGCCUAUGGUACACCCCCUAACACCUUAGCCGAAUUCGCACUUAACCAAUUCAGCAACUUGGACUUCUUUGAUAUAUCUUUGGUUGAUGGAUUUAAUGUGCCUAUGGCCUUUAAUCCUACUUCCAAUGGGUGCACCCGUGGCAUCAGUUGCACCGCCGACAUCGUGGGAGAGUGCCCCGCUGCGCUAAAGACUACCGGUGGUUGCAACAACCCAUGCACCGUUUUCAAGACCGAUGAAUAUUGUUGCAAUUCUGGGAGCUGUAGUGCUACAGAUUACUCAAGGUUUUUCAAGACUAGGUGCCCUGAUGCUUAUAGCUACCCUAAGGACGAUCAGACAAGCACCUUCACAUGCACUGCCGGUACCAAUUAUGAAGUUGUCUUCUGCCCAUAAAUCUAUUAUUUAAAUCAUAUGCUAGUAUGCCUCUACUAGUCUCAACUAUUAGGAGGCAAUGGUUUCCACCUUGGGUUCCAAAAGCCUAGAGGAAUAAAGUUGGGCACAUUUUCGUGGUCAUGUAACAAGAUUUCUACACUAGUAGAAGUAAUGGAUGUUUUUUUUUUUUAUAUAUAUAUAUAUAUAUAUAGAUUUAUGCGAUCUUCUUUCUUUCUAACCUCUAUGGUCCCGUCCAAGUAAUAUUUCAUAUAUAUUUUAUUCUAUAUAAUAUCUGCGGAUAAGAUCGGUUAAUGAAGCUUGACUAAAGUCAAAAUUUUAUUUUAUUUCAUUAUCCUACUUGGAAACUACCUUCCUUACUGGGUACAUGGCAUUUUUUUUUUAAUAAUAUUUGACUCAGGUUUCCGAGAAAACAUUGUAGCAGUCCAAACACGGCGUAAAUUGGGACUUUUCUCAAUAGUAGAGUAAUUUAAAAAAGUUAUUCUUCAAUUACUGUAGUGGAAGAAGUUAUUACAAAUAUAGGGUAGUUUUUGCCAGAUAGGAGAGAGGAGAGAGGAGAGAGGGUGAGAGAGAGGAGAGAGGAAAGAGGAGAUAGGAGAGAGGAGAGAGGAGAGAGGGUGAACGGGUAAAAUUUUUUAAAAAAGGGAACUCGUCUCUUGAAGAGACGAGUUCCAUGAAAAAAAAUAUAUAUAUAAUUUUUAAAAAAUUCUCAAAUUAAAAAAAAAAAAAUUGGAACUAAAGGCUUGACACGAGUUCCCAUGGGAAAAAUAUAUAUUAUUUAUUUAAAAUAUAUUUUUCAUUUAAAAAAAAUCCCAAAAAAAAUAAAAAAUAAAAUUUCUAAAAGGAACUCGUCUCUUUUUUAAAAAAAAUAUAUUUUUUAUUUUAAAAUCCCAAAUUUAAAAAAAAAAAACGCAAUUCCAAAAGGAACUCGUCUCUUUAAAAAUAUAUAUAUUUAAAAAAAAAAAUUCCUAAAGGGAACUCGUCUCUUGAAGAGACGAGUUCCCUUUAGGAAAAAAAAUAUUUUGUUUUUAAAAUAUAUUUUUUAUUUUAAAAAAUCCCAAAUAAAAAAAAAUAAAAAAUAAAAAACAAUUCCAAAGGGAACUCGUCUCUUCAAGAGACGAGUUCCCAUGUAAAAAAAAAUAUUUUUUUAAAAAAUAUAUAUAUUUAAAAAAAAAAAUUCAGAGUUACUUUAGGAAAAAAAAUAUUUUUUUUUUAAAAUAUAUUUUUUAUUUUAAAAAAUCCCAAAUUUAAAAAAAAAAAAACACAAUUCCAAAGGGAACUCGUCUCUUCAAGAGACGAGUUCCCAUGUAAAAAAAAUAUUUUUUUUAAAUAUAUAUAUUAAAAAAAAAAAAACAAUUCCUCAAAAUUCCUAAAGGAACUCGUCUNNNNNNNNNNNNNNNNNNNNNNNNNNNNNNNNNNNNNNNNNNNNNNNNNNNNNNNNNNNNNNNNNNNNNNNNNNNNNNNNNNNNNNNNNNNNNNNNNNNNAAAGGAACUCGUCUUUUGGAAGAGAACGAGUUCCCAUGUAAAAAAAAAAAAAAAUUUUAAAAAAAAUAUAUAUUUAAAAAAAUAAAAAUUCAGGGUUCCCUUUAGGAAAAAAAAUAAUUUUUUUUUAAAAAAAAUAUUUUUUUUUUUAAAAAAUCCCCAAUUAAAAAAAAAAAAAAAAAAAAAAAACCCAAUUCCAAAGGGAACUCGUCUCUUCAAGAGACGAGUUCCCUUGUAAAAAAAAUUAUUAUUUUUAAAUAUAUAUAUAUUAAAAAAAAAAAAAAAAAAAAACAAUUCCUCAAAAUUCCUAAAGGAACUCGUCUCUUCAAGAGACGAGUUCCCAUAUAAAAAAAAAAAUUAAAAAAAAAUAUAUAUUUAAAAAAAUAAAAAUUCAGAGUUCCCUUAGGAAAAAUAAUAAUUUUUUAAAAAAAUAUAUUUUUUAUUUUAAAAAAUCCCAAAUUAAAAAAAAAAAAAAAAAAAAAAAACACAAUUCCAAAGGGAACUCGUCUCUUAUUUUUUUUUUUUCCAUAGGAACUCGUCUCUUCAAUAGACGAGUUCCCUUGAUGAAUUGUUUUUUUUUUUUUUUUUUUUAAAUAUAUUUUUUUAAAAAAAAUUUGUUUUUACGUGGGAACUCAUCUUAAAGAGACGAGUUCCCUUGAGGAAUUGUUUUUUUAUUUUAUUUUAUAUUUUAUUUUAAUAUAUAUAUUUUAAAAUAAAAAAUAUUUUUAAGAGACGAGUUCCUUUGGAAUUGUGUUUUUUUUUUUUUUUUUUAAUUUGGGAUUUUUUAAAUUUUUUAAAAAAAUAAUUUUUUUUCCUAAAGGGAAUUCUGAAUUUUUAAUUUUUUAAAUAUAUAUAUUUAAAAAUUUUUUUUUUUUUAAAAAACAAAAAUUUUUUUUAAAAAAUAUAUAUAUUUAAAAAAAAAUUAUAUUUUUUNNNNNNNNNNNNNNNNNNNNNNNNNNNNNNNNNNNNNNNNNNNNNNNNNNNNNNNNNNNNNNNNNNNNNNNNNNNNNNNNNNNNNNNCGUCUCUUCAAGAGACGAGUUCCCUUUGGAAUUGUGUUUUUUUUUUUUUUUUUUCUUUUUUUUAAUUUGGGAUUUUUUAAAAUAAAAAAUAUUUUUUUUUUCCUAAAGGGAACUCUGAAUUUUUUUUUUAAAUAUAUAUAUAUUUUUUAAAAAAAUAUUUUUAAAAAAAAAAUAUUUUUUUUUGUUUUUUUUUUUUUAAUUUGGGAUUUUUUAAAAUAAAAAAUAUAUUUUAAAAAAAAAAUAUUUUUUUUCCUAAAGGGAACUCGUCUCUUCAAAAAACAAGUUACCUUUAGGAAUUUUUUUUUUAAAUAUAUAUAUUUUAAAAAAAAAAUAUUUUUUUUACAUGGGAACUCGUCUCUUCAAAAGACGAGUUCCUUUUGGAAUUGUGUUUUUUUUUUUUUUUUUUUUAAUUUAGGAUUUUUUAAAAUAAAAAAUAUAUUUUUAAAAAAAAUUAUUUUUUUUCCCAAGGAACUCGUCUCUUGAAGAGACGAGUUCCCUUUAGAAAUUUUUUUUUUUUUUUUUUGGAUUUUUUUAAAUAAAAAAUAUAUUUUAAAUAAAUAAUAUAUUUUUUUUCCCAGGGAACUCGUCUGAAGCCUUUAGUUCCAAAUUUUUUUUUUUAAUUUGAGAAUUUUUUAAAAAUUAUAUAUAUAUAUUUUUUCAUGGAACUCGUCUCUUCAAGAGACGAGUUCCCUUUUUUAAAAAAUUUUACCCGUUCAUCCUCUCUCCUCUCUCCUAUCUCCUCUUUCCUCUCUCCUCUCUCCUCUCUCUCACCCUCUCUCCUCUCUCCUCUCUCCUCUCUCCUAUGUGGCAAAAACUACCCUAUAUUUGUAAUAACUUCUUCCACUACAGUAAUUGAAGAAUAACUUUUUUAAAUUACUCUACUAUUGAGAAAAGUCCGCGUAAAUUGUCAUAGCCCUUUAUUGCAGAGAAUAGUGGAAAAGAAAGUUGUUAAAAGUGGCAUAAGUAAUUCAAACCAUAACCCUAUAUUGAGGAGAGUUAUGACUUAUGACACAUAAAUAUUGAAGUUCCACUUGUCUAUCAAUUAAAUAAAUAUAUGUUUUAAUUUAUUUUUGUAAAAAAAAUCAAUAAGAUUUUUAAUAUUUAUUUUACUAAUUUUAUUUAAAGAACUUAUGAUUUAAAAACGAGUUUAAUAUGAUUUAGAUAAGAAAUAUUUUAAUAUUUAAUAUAAAUUUUAUAAUACUAAUAUUACCUAUUAAAAAUUAAGAUUUUGGUUGCACCAUCAACAUUUAGUUAAAUCUAAAAAUAAAAAACUAUUUCAAACAAAGCUUUAUUUAUUCAUCUAUCAUGCUAAUGGAGCCUCAGAAGUUAAAAAGAUUAACUGGGCCAUGGUUAUAGAAGCCCAAAAGAUUUAUUGAUGGGGCGGAGCAGGUGGGCCUGGCCUGCCAUGUGCAGCUGUAUUUUUUUGACUUGUCUUCAAGACAACAAGUCAACGCCUCCGUUCAAUGAAGCGGAUGUAUCGGAAAAACCCAAAAGCUUCAUUUUCCCCUCAAAACGCGUAAACCCCAAAAUGAGCUUCUUCUGCAACUGCAGCAACCUCUCUACUUCCUUCUGCCUCCUCAUCCUCCCGUUCUUCUUCACCUUCAUCCAUGCAACCACUUUCGAAAUCCAAAACAGCUGCCCCUACACCAUCUGGGCAGCCGCCGUACCCGGCGGCGGAAGGCAACUCGACCAAGGCCAGACCUGGAACCUUUCAGUGAGCUCCAACAUAACGGGCCGCAUCUGGGGCAGAACCAAGUGCAGCUUCGAUGAAGCCGGAAGGGGGAGCUGCGAGUCCGGUGGAUGUGGAGGCCUCCUUGAAUGCCAAGAAUAUGGUUCACCGCCCAACACCAUUGCCGAGUACACCCUAAACCAAUCCAACAAAACUGAUUUAUUCGAUGUUUCUCUGGUGGAUGGAUUCAACCUUCCAAUGGAGUUUAGCCCAACUUCUGAUGGGUGCAGAGGGGCCAAUUGUACAGGCGACAUUAACGGGCCGUGCCCAAAUGAGUUGAGGGACCCGGGUGGGUGUAACAACCCAUGUACCGUUUUCAAAAAUUCUCAGUACUGUUGCGAUUCCGGGAGCUGUGGCCCUACAACUUACUCCGAGUUUUUCAAGGAUAGGUGCCCAAAUGCAUACAGUUACCCUGAGGAUGAUUCAACCAGUUUGUUUACGUGCUCCACUGGCUCUAACUAUCGUGUAGUCUUCUGCCCUUGAAUUAUGGGUUGCUAUUAAUUGUUUGAAGUAUUUUCUGAAUUGCCGUGUAAUUUUAUGCUAUGAGGGUAUUUCUUCCUAAGUUUUGUUGGAUGAUCCGUUGAAAUAAAUACUCGAUAACUUCUGUAUUAUUUUAAAAAGUAAUGUAUCAAUAUGCCCAUUUUUAAAAGCUAUAGUGUUAUAAAUUUCAAACUCUUUAAAAUUUUGAGAGAUGAUACUAAGAACUAGCAUACUUUUGUAAAAGAAGUCAUAAAAGGAGAGUCAUCUAAAAAUUUUAAACUUUUAAAAUUUUUCACUAAAACCAAUGUCUCUCUCCGCUUGUUGACUCGUCUGGAAGUCAAGUCCAACGACCCCAUAGCCGUCAACCGAAACCGUUCAUGAAAAAUCUGAUCACCUUCCUCGCCAAAAUGCCAAAAUCCCAAGAUGACUUUCUUCAGCAGCUGCAACAACCUCUCCACUUCCUUCUUCCUCCUCAUCACCACUCUCUUCUUCACCUUCCUCCACGCUUCCGCGCUUCCACCUUCCACAUCCAAAACAA
RNAcentral lists this long non-coding RNA (18082 nucleotides) under Vitis vinifera (wine grape). RNAcentral describes it as "long non-coding RNA (VVIN_LNC000377)". Lineage: Eukaryota; Viridiplantae; Streptophyta; Magnoliopsida; Vitales; Vitaceae. The record is from RNAcentral.